This 371-nucleotide ribosomal RNA is filed under the name uncultured bacterium. RNAcentral describes it as "bacterial SSU rRNA". It matches the Rfam family "Bacterial small subunit ribosomal RNA", at positions 335 to 702 of the family's 1533-position model. The record is from RNAcentral.
ACUCCUACGGGAGGCAGCAGUGGGGAAUAUUGCACAAUGGGGAAGCCCUGAUGCAGCCAUGCCGCGUGUGUGAAGAAGGCCUCGGUUGUAAAGCACUUUCAGUAGGGAGGAAGGUAGUGUAGUUAACACCUGCACUAUUUGACGUUACCUACAGAAGAAGCACCGGCUAACUCCGUGCCAGCAGCCGCGGUAAUACGGAGGGUGCGAGCGUUAAUCGGAAUUACUGGGCGUAAAGCGCAUGCAGGCGGCCUGUUAAGUCAGAUGUGAAAGCCCGGGGGCUUAACCUCGGAAUUGCAUUUGAAACUGGCAGGCUAGAGUCUUGUAGAGGGGGUAGAAUUUCAGGUGUAGCGGUGAAAUGCGUAGAGACUGUA